UCCGGUUGAUCCUGCCGGAGGCCAUUGCUAUUGGGAUUCGAUUUAGCCAUGCUAGUCGUACGAGUUCAUACUCGUGGCGAAUAGCUCAGUAACACGUGGCCAAACUACCCUUCGGAGCACAAUACCCUCGGGAAACUGAGGCUAAUAGUGCAUACCACAGUCCACCUGGAAUGAGGAUUGUGCCAAACGCUCCGGCGCCGAAGGAUGUGGCUGCGGCCGAUUAGGUAGACGGUGGGGUAACGGCCCACCGUGCCAAUAAUCGGUACGGGUNUGUGCCAAACGCUCCGGCGCCGAAGGAUGUGGCUGCGGCCGAUUAGGUAGACGGUGGGGUAACGGCCCACCGUGCCAAUAAUCGGUACGGGUCAUGAGAGUGAGAACCCGGAGACGGAAUCUGAGACAAGAUUCCGGGCCCUACGGGGCGCAGCAGGCGCGAAACCUUUACACUGCACGCCAGUGCGAUAAGGGAAUCCCAAGUGCGCAGGCAUAGAGCCUGCGCUUUUGUUCACCGUAGGGAGGUGAACGAAUAAGGGCUGGGCAAGACCGGUGCCAGCCGCCGCGGUAAUACCGGCAGCCCGAGUGAUGGCCGAUUUUAUUGGGCCUAAAGCGUCCGUAGCUGGCUGCGCAAGUCCAUCGGAAAAUCCACCCGCUCAACGGGUGGGCGUCCGGUGGAAACUGCGUGGCUUGGGACCGGAAGGCGCGACGGGUACGUCCGGGGUAGGAGUGAAAUCCCGUAAUCCUGGACGGACCNCGCGAGGACGGAUCCGACAGUGAGGGACGAAAGCCAGGGUCUCGAACCGGAUUAGAUACCCGGGUAGUCCUGGCCGUAAACAAUGUCUGUUAGGUGUGGCUCCCGCUACGAGCGGGUGCUGUGCCGUAGGGAAGCCGCUAAACAGACCGCCUGGGAAGUACGUCCGCAAGGAUGAAACUUAAAGGAAUUGGCGGGGGAGCACUACAACCGGAGGAGCCUGCGGUUUAAUUGGACNCCUUAUCCGAGUUUCAGAGAGGAGGUGCAUGGCCGCCGUCAGCUCGUACCGUGAGGCGUCCUGUUAAGUCAGGCAACGAGCGAGACCCGCAUCCUUACUUGCCAGCAGCACUGCGAAGUGGCUGGGGACAGUAGGGAGACCGCCGUGGCCAACACGGAGGAAGGAACGGGCAACGGUAGGUCAGUAUGCCCCGAAUGUGCUGGGCAACACGCGGGCUACAAUGGUCGAGACAAAGGGUUCCAACUCCGAAAGGAGACGGUAAUCUCAGAAACUCGAUCGUAGUUCGG
RNAcentral lists this ribosomal RNA (1270 nucleotides) under Halorubrum distributum JCM 10247. RNAcentral describes it as "bacterial SSU rRNA". It matches the Rfam family "Archaeal small subunit ribosomal RNA", at positions 1 to 1252 of the family's 1478-position model. The record is from RNAcentral. Lineage: Archaea; Methanobacteriati; Methanobacteriota; Halobacteria; Halobacteriales; Haloferacaceae.